RNAcentral lists this ribosomal RNA (99 nucleotides) under uncultured bacterium. RNAcentral describes it as "partial 16S ribosomal RNA". It matches the Rfam family "Bacterial small subunit ribosomal RNA", at positions 1388 to 1482 of the family's 1533-position model. The record is from RNAcentral.
CACCGCCCGUCACACCAUGGGAAUUGGGUCUACCCGACGACGGUGCGCCAACCUCGCAAGAGGAAGCAGCCGGCCACGGUAGGCUCAGUGACUGGGGUG